UUUUCAGUACAUUUUAUCAUACAAGAAUAAUCUUUUCUAAAUUUUACUUUAGGUUUUGAAACUAACAUGAACCUAACUGGACGGGAUGAUCCUAAUACAUCAGAAAUUGCUUCGGAGACUCAAGAUAGAAAUGCAAAUAACCAUGGAAUUCAAUUAUCUAAUUCACUAUCUAGUGCUAUUACUGCUGAAAAUGGAAAUUCCGUCUCAAAUGGCUCGCCUGAAGAGGACCGGUACUCACGGCUGAGUGUGAGUGGCACGGCCACGCCGUCGCUCCAGAGGCACCGGGACAGCCACACGACUCAGGUCAUCCAUCAGCUGAGGCUCUCGGAGAACGAGAGCGUGGCGCUGCAGGAGCUCCUCCAGUGGAGGCGCAAGCUGUGCGAGGAGAGAGGAGACUGGCAGCAGGCCCUGCCCCACAGCGAGCCCAGGGCGCCUCCGCCGCCUCCCUGCAAGAAGCCCACUCUGCUGAAGAAGCCCGAAGGGGCCUCCUGCAACAGGCUGCCCUCUGAGCUCUGGGACACCACCAUCUGAUGGCCCUAGAGGCUGCCUAGUGAAUCCAGGAGCGUCCAGGCAGCUGCCUUCCCACCGACUCGCUGGGUCUUCCCUCUGCGCAUUCACACGAAAAAGCACAGGACAUUGACACUGGCUAGACAAGACUUCCUGUGUGUGUGUGUGUGUGUGUGUGUGUGUGUCCUCGUUCUUUCUUAUCCAUUUUGUGGUAACACACUCUGAUUUUCGGGAUCCACGUCUAUAGGGUGCACUGCCCCUGGAAAAGGACAGAAAGGCUGAGGAGAGCGGGGGUGAGCGGAGGGUGCAGACAGCAGUGUGGGAAGCAGAGCUGCUUGACUGUGCGCUGUGUCCCUUCAGCCCCAGACACGGCCUCUGUCCUCAUGAGCACCGGCCGAGGUGCAGUGCACAGGACACACCUUUCGUUUCUUUGUAGGUGCGUGUGUGUUAUUGGAAUUUCAAACCUGGUAAUUAUUUACAUGUUUAUUAUUGUAUUUUAUAACUUUCUGAAAAUGGUGGUGCUCCCUUUCUUCAAAAAUACAGAUUUUAAAAGGUCAUUUCUAGUUUUUUUUUUUUUUUUCCCUCCACACACCUUUUUUUUAACCGAAAGCACCUGGAACCCUUGAAACGGUCGCUUUGGCUUUGCCGUGUCACCCUGCAGAAGCCUGGGCGAGUCCAGGUCCAGCUCCCCUCUGUGAAGAGGACGCAGUCCUGCACUGUGUUUUGGGUAAGCGGCUUGUGCACCCCCUGGUUGAACCCCACCCCCCAUACCAGCUUUGGCAUAGGCUACAGGCAGUUCGUGGCACUCAGACUCAUGGCUGGUGGUGCACAAAAGGUGUGGAUGAGCAGACGGAGCCACGCUGCUUCCCGCAGCCACAUUGCAUUGCAAGACGCCCGCGAGCCACGUUGCAUGCCUCGCUUGCUGUGUCCCUCACCUGCUGUGACGCAAGCCUUGUCCCCCUGUGCUUCCGCCGGCUGUCGGGAAAUUCUGGGCAGUGCCCGGACCCCUCUGUCUUGCUACACGGGCCUUUUAUCCAUACCAGCCUUUGAAAAGUUACUGUGCCAAUAAAAGGGUCAACUGUGUUCUGCGUUUACUUAUU
Long non-coding RNA from Ictidomys tridecemlineatus (thirteen-lined ground squirrel), 1607 nucleotides. The record is from Ensembl. Lineage: Eukaryota; Metazoa; Chordata; Mammalia; Rodentia; Sciuridae.